Molecule: ribosomal RNA, 439 nt
Filed under: uncultured bacterium
Lineage: Bacteria
Description: partial 16S ribosomal RNA
Rfam family: Bacterial small subunit ribosomal RNA
Source: RNAcentral
CUACGGGUUGCACCAGUGAGGAAUAUUGCACAAUGGGGGGAACCCUGAUGCAGCAACGCCGCGUGGAGGAUGACGCAUUUCGGUGUGUAAACUCCUUUUAUAUGUCAAGAAAAUGACGGUAGCAUAUGAAUAAGCACCGGCUAACUUCGUGCCAGCAGCCGCGGUAAUACGGAGGGUGCAAGCGUUACUCGGAAUCACUGGGCGUAAAGGACGCGUAGGCGGGUUGGAAAGUCAGGUGUGAAAUCCUACAGCUUAACUGUAGAACUGCACUUGAAACUUCUAAUCUAGAGUAUGGGAGGGGGAGAUGGAAUUAGUGGUGUAGGGGUAAAAUCCGCAGAUAUCACUAGGAAUACCUAAAGCGAAGGCGAUCUCCUGGAACAUUACUGACGCUAAGGCGUGGAAGCGUGGGGAGCAAACAGGAUUAGAUACCCCGGUAGUC